CCAGCCCAAUCAAAAUAAAAUAGAUUGGAAAGAUUAAUGAAGGGAGCAAAAUCUGUGGAAGACGUCUCUUGCUAUGAAGAAAUCCCGAAUUGGAAACACAUUUGUACUGCCCUUCGUAAUAUCACCAUAUCUCUCUCAUCCGAUGUCGUAUUGAGCUGAUUCAAGAGGCCUUGGAAAGCUAGAGCAAAACUUGAAUGAGGUUGAGCAAUUUUACACUUCUGCAAAUAAAAAGAAGCUGAGCACUCCAAAAGGUAGCUCAGUUCUAAAGGACAAAGAUAGCUAGUAGCUGUUUCCCAGCUCAAAAAGGAGGAAAUAGGAUGCAGCCAGUAGGGAAGCAGCUGUUAGUAAGAGAAUGCAAGUGCUUAUGUGCCAAUUUGCAACGAUUCUACAUCAGGUAAUCAUAAAUUCUCUGCAUUCAUAUUUGCAAUAUUAUUUAUAGCCUUCUACUGCGGCUGCUUACACAUGGGGUCCUGUGAAAAUUUUAUGGUGUUUAGCAUCUUUGUUGCCAUGUUUUUGUUGGACACAUCUUUUAGGUUGUCUACAAACCUCCACCUAACAUCCGUUUGUUCUUGCAUUUUUGCAACUAUUUGAAGUCGGUCCCUCCUGUUAAUCUUUUGAUGCUUCUAUAUAUUCGAUCGCGGUUUACAACUA
This is a long non-coding RNA of Olea europaea var. sylvestris, 651 nucleotides long. RefSeq lists it as uncharacterized. The record is from RefSeq and is a predicted model, not a curated record. NCBI's taxonomy places the organism in Eukaryota, Viridiplantae, Streptophyta, Magnoliopsida, Lamiales, Oleaceae. The transcript is spliced from 2 exons.